This 253-nucleotide ribosomal RNA is filed under the name uncultured bacterium. Its description in RNAcentral is "partial 16S ribosomal RNA". It matches the Rfam family "Bacterial small subunit ribosomal RNA", at positions 524 to 776 of the family's 1533-position model. The record is from RNAcentral.
UACGGAGGGAGCUAGCGUUAUUCGGAAUUACUGGGCGUAAAGCGCACGUAGGCGGAUUUGUUAGUCAGGGGUGAAAUCCCGAGGCUCAACCUCGGAACUGCCUUUGAUACUGCAAAUCUCGAGUCCGGAAGAGGUGAGUGGAAUUCCUAGUGUAGAGGUGAAAUUCGUAGAUAUUAGGAAGAACACCAGUGGCGAAGGCGGCUCACUGGUCCGGUACUGACGCUGAGGUGCGAAAGCGUGGGGAGCAAACAGG